Pogonomyrmex barbatus (red harvester ant) is the source of this 4411-nucleotide long non-coding RNA. Lineage: Eukaryota; Metazoa; Arthropoda; Insecta; Hymenoptera; Formicidae. The record is from RefSeq and is a predicted model, not a curated record.
GAUAAAUUCCACGAUAUGUGGAGGAGGAUUCGAGAUAACUUGAUAAAGAUGAAAAGAUAUGCAUAGGACGAGAGAGGAUCAGAAAGAAGGAACAAGGGAAUUACGUCGAAUGAAUCCUUCCUCAGAAUUUUCGCUUACAUCUCGAUUUUGGGGACGUCGGCCUCGAAUGCUCUCGGUGACCUCCGCGUUUCUCACGCGUCAGUAAGUUCGAUUUUAUUAGUAGGAUGUUAUAAAAUUUUGAAUCGCGCAGCGGAACUCUUAUCUUCAAAGUAUUUGUUGAUUUGGGAUAGUUUGAUUUCAGAAUAUAUAUAAAAAGAAGUUCCGCUAUACCGAGUCUCGCGGUUUAUUUUUUGAAGGUAAGCCUUUGAGCGUAUCGCAAUCCGGCCCUUAUUGAUAAUUUAGUGAUAAACAAGGAAUUCUUUGUAAAUCGUUCGAGGCAUUAUUGUUUACCGAUGAGUAGCCGUUAGUUUGCUGCAAAAGAGAAGAAUCGUGGAAUCUGCCAGACGUAACAAUAAUUUAAAUAUAAAUUUAUCAUACGAUUUUGUAUCAGAUCAGACAGUCGGAAGCUGUCGAAUUAAUUACACAUCUCUAAUUCGUUCAUAGGCAGUUCUUAACCAUACACUUAAGUACGGAAAGCGCGAUACGGCAGUACGUGUCGAAUUUUUUGGAUAUUCGCCUCGCAACACGAUUCAAUUACAUAUGACACGCAUAAAUAGUCAGUGAAGAAGACGAAUAAUAUCCGAUUGCAAUUAUCAGUACACUCGGUUGCCCUGAGCGCCUGAAAACUUCGUCGGAAGAUCACAGACGCGAUCGAUAAUUUCCGGCGGAGGUGAGUUGCCCAUACUCCCAGACGAUGCGUUUGCUAAGUUUUUAAUUUAAAAAGAACUAUUCGAUGUUAGACCCAGCAGGGAACACCUUAUUUCGAGGAUUUCUUCGAUAGUGGGAUGCGGAGGCUCGAUCAGAAGAUUCUGUUUUACCGAAAAAAUCCUGGCAGCGGCGGAUUUUCCUCACCAUGUUUUUUUAGUGGUGUCUGCUGGACCGACUCGUGGGAGCGAAACUUGAUCUACAGGAAAUUUGUUGAGAUCUAUCGGAGAUCUAAUCUUUCAAAGCGGAGGCCGGCUUUUUAUUUUGCUACGAUCCGAUAUUCGAGCGGAUUCGAAACGAUUCAAAUCGGAUCAUGAGCGGUAAUUAAGUUGCUGCUGCACUAAUGAGAUCUUAUUAUCCUCAUUUCCGGACGCGCUCAGCGGUCUUCGGUCGAAUUCGACGGCGUAACGCGAGACGCGGUCCACGCAAUGGCACGCAGGCCGUUUCGCAAUUCUCGAUAGUUUUUUUACAGAUAUUGGCAUCUAUAACUGCAGUAGAGGAGGGCAAAAAUACGUUACAAAGCAAUGAAUAAAUGAAUAAAUUAUUUUGAUAAAAGAAAGCAAAAGCAGCAAACUAAUAUACAGGGUAUUCCUGUAACUUGAUCAUUUAAAAUAUCAAUGUAUAAAAAUCGCUAUAACAUUCGUAAAUAGUUAUGACAUAUUCAAACUUCGUUUUCGUUAAAAAAGUAACGCCUUAUUCUUGUCGUUAGAUGAAAUCAUUGAAUCAUUCGGAGACUGAUGUAAAUCAGAAACAAUUGUUGGUGGACAUAAGUACAUUUGUUCGAAUUAAAAGCAAAGUCGUAAUCAGAGUUCCGAGAAGAAAACAAUCUCCUUAGAAUCAUGUGCGACCAGUAAUUUGACAUCAUUUAUAAGCUAGAAAUGUAUACAAACAUUAAUUUAAAAACCGGAUUGCGAAAAAUAAAAUUCGAUAUGAAAAUGAGUUAUUAGAAUAGAUAAUAUGAAAUGUCAAUAGAAUAAAUAGUAAUAAACUACAACGAGAAACAUAGCUAUUUUUCUCUAUUAUUUUUGAAAUAAAUUCAAACAGUCAUAUCACCAACUAGGCGCCAUUAAUAAAUAGUAAUAAUAUUAACAAAUAUAAACAUACAAAUACAUACAGGCCAACCAAUAAAAUGCUUCGAGUAAUAGUCGUGUCUGAUCGAAUUAAAAAUUGGUCCGUACUUGAUCGGAAGCAAAGAAAGGUUCAUUAAUAAAAAAAAUCUACUCUCAAGAAUGGACAAAGCAAUUGUGGGCGUGAAAACAAAGACGAAAAGGUUAAAAACAAGUGGAAAUGAAAAACAAAAAAAAUCAAAAAAAUAAAGGAAAGAUUAAAAUUAGGGAAGCAGAUGAAGGAGGAAAAAGAAUCGGGAAGGGAGUUCAGAAUAGGAAGAUACAUCGUGGAGUAAGUUCGUAUCGCUCUGUUUGUUCAGGUCAUGUGGUUGUUUUUUAAUAUGCAUUCCCGGGAAAAAAAGUUUAUAUUUAAUUAUAUAUAAUUUUGUAGAUCUAAUUAUGUAUGAAUUUUGACCUGAUCUAAUUAUAUAUAAAUAGAUAAAAUUGUUUAUGAUUAUAUAUGAACAGAUCAAAUUAUGCAUACUUAUGACGACAAAAUUUCGGUUGCGUUUCGAUAUUGACUACUAGUACUGAAAAUUUAUAAUAUAUGUGACAUAAAACUCUAAUUUAUGUCUCCACAGAGGAAAGAAGGAAUCUCAACCAAGGGACAGUAUGACUGGAUGAUCCAAUCCAAAAAAGUAAGAGAAAAACUACUAAUUCACCUGAAACAGAACUGACUCCCCCGGGAACUAAACCCUCUUUACCAGCUUCAGCGUAAUUAAAUAUUAAAAAAAUAUAAUAAAGAAGUAGUACCACCGCGAAUUUACAUUAGUGAGCCAAACGACAUAAACAAAGCCACUGAUAACUUACGAAAACUUGGUUUUAAGGGGAAAAUUUCUACCCUAUCACGUGAUAUCAAAAUAAAUUAUCUAAAUGGGAAAGAAUAUCGUAAAAUCAUCAAAAUGUUAAAUGAUGAAAAAGAAUCUGGGUUCCAGACGGAAUAGCUAUGCAAGAAUUUACGUCCCUUCAAGAUAAUGGCAAGAGGAUCCUACUAUCGAUCCUAGAGAAUGAAAAUCUAAAAGCUACGAAUUUUAAAAUUCUCAGCAAUUAAUAUUCUCAAGACUCAGUUUAGGAAAGAUUCAAUGAAUGAAACAAAAUCUAUCAAGACUCAUGUCAAACUUAGGCUAUUUAGGCUUACCUUCGAUAAUUCUGAAUCAAUAGAUAAAAUCUACGGCAUCAAAACCAUUAGUUAUCAAGUUGUUAAAAUAGAAGCAUUUUACAAGAAUCCAAGAAUCAGAAUCGUACAAUGUAAAAACUGCCAGGGAUAUAACCAUGUACGUAGCAACUGUCAGCUGUCGGAAAGCCCGUUGUGUCAAAUGUGCUGGUGAACAUCCUACAGUUGCAUAUUCCAAAUCUAAGGAAUCAAAAUUAAGAUGUGCAAACUGUGGUGAGGCUCAUAUGGCAAACUACAGAGAGUGCAUCAUUACUAAAGAGUUGCAAAAACGUAGGAAUGAAGUUAUUAAUAACAAAAAAGCUAAAAAUUAAAUACCAAACAAAUAAUUAAAGAAAAACAAGCUGAAAUGAAAAAAGAGAUCUCGGAAAUAAACCAAUUUGUUCUGGAGUCUAAUAAUGACAAAGCAAUUUAUGCAGAAAAAGCUAUGUAAAGUUAUUCAAACGAAGCAUUAGCUAAUAAUGAAACUUUCAAAAUUAUGACAGUCUUGGAAAAACUCAUAAAUCGUUUUGAUCAGCAAGAAAAGUUUUAUAAAACAAAGUUUGACUCAAUAGACAGGCAACUGGCCAAAAUCAUAAUGAAAUAAUGGCAGGUACAAUUCGAAUUGCUAUCUGAAAUGCAAACGGCUUAUGUCAACACAAAUCAGAAUUAGAGAUCUUCCUGAAAGAGCAAAAAAUUGAUAUGUCUAAUCUCUGAAACCCAUUUCACAAGAGAAUCUUACUUUAAUAUUUAAUUUCAAGGAUAUAAAACUUAUCACUCUAUUCAUCCGUCCAAUAAGGCCUGUGAAGGAGCUGCCAUAAUUCGUUCAAGUAUUAAACACUAUGAGGAACCUGAAACAUCAACAGAAAGCUUUCAAAUCUCUGCCGUAAGCAUCAAAUGCAAAAGAUAUGUAUUCUCCAUUACUGCAAUAUACAGUCCUCCCAGGCACACCAUUAACCAAGAAGAAUACCUAGCUUUUCUUCAAUCACGGGGAAAUUCCUAUAUAAUAGGGGGAGACUUUAAUGCUAAGCAUACUUAUUGGGGCAGUAGAUAUAUUAUCUAAAGAAAAAGCAUUAAUCUCUGCAGGUAAAUCACUAAAGUGUGAUUUUUUGUCAAGUACGGUCAAAAGUACGGCAGCCCGAGCUACUGACCUUCAGAUAUAAACAAGCAUCCUGAUUGACUUUUUCAUAGUUAAAGGACUCUCAACAAAUUAUAUUACAAAUCCAGUCUCGAUCUUAGCUCACAUUCCGGUCAUACUAAACCUUAGCGAUACCUUUAUAUACAAAAAAAA